AUGCUCGCUUCAGCAGCACAUAUACUAAAACUGGAAUGAUGCAGAGAUUAGCAUGGCCCCUGAGCAAGAAUGAAAUGCAAAUUCAUGAAGCGUUCCAUAGUUUA
Saimiri boliviensis boliviensis (Bolivian squirrel monkey) is the source of this 104-nucleotide small nuclear RNA. Lineage: Eukaryota; Metazoa; Chordata; Mammalia; Primates; Cebidae. The record is from RefSeq and is a predicted model, not a curated record.